Molecule: ribosomal RNA, 496 nt
Filed under: uncultured bacterium
Lineage: Bacteria
Description: partial 16S ribosomal RNA
Rfam family: Bacterial small subunit ribosomal RNA
Source: RNAcentral
AUGAACGCUGGCGGCGUGCCUAAUACAUGCCAGUCGAGCGAACGGACGAGAAGCUUGCUUCUCUGAUGUUAGCGGCGGACGGGUGAGUAACACGUGGAUAACCUACCUAUAAGACUGGGAUAACUUCGGGAAACCGGAGCUAAUACCGGAUAAUAUUUUGAACCGCAUGGUUCAAAAGUGAAAGACGGUCUUGCUGUCACUUAUAGAUGGAUCCGCGCUGUAUUAGCUAGUUGGUAAGGUAACGGCUUACCAAGGCAACGAUGCAUAGCCGACCUGAGAGGGUGAUCGGCCACACUGGAACUGAGACACGGUCCAGACUCCUACGGGAGGCAGCAGUAGGGAAUCUUCCGCAAUGGGCGAAAGCCUGACGGAGCAACGCCGCGUGAGUGAUGAAGGUCUUCGGAUCGUAAAACUCUGUUAUUAGGGAAGAACAUAUGUGUAAGUAACUGUGCACAUCUUGACGGUACCUAAUCAGAAAGCCACGGCUAACUACGUG